This 164-nucleotide ribosomal RNA is filed under the name uncultured bacterium. RNAcentral describes it as "partial 16S rRNA". It matches the Rfam family "Bacterial small subunit ribosomal RNA", at positions 355 to 511 of the family's 1533-position model. The record is from RNAcentral.
UAGGGAAUCUUCCACAAUGGGCGAAAGCCUGGUGGAGCAACGCCGCGUGUGUGAUGAAGGGUUUCGGCUCGUAAAACACUGUUGUAAGAGAAGAAUGACAUUGAGAGUAACUGUUCAAUGUGUGACGGUAUCUUACCAGAAAGGAACGGCUAAAUACGUGCCAC